RNAcentral lists this ribosomal RNA (465 nucleotides) under Vreelandella stevensii. RNAcentral's name for it is "partial 16S ribosomal RNA". It matches the Rfam family "Bacterial small subunit ribosomal RNA", at positions 338 to 795 of the family's 1533-position model. The record is from RNAcentral. Lineage: Bacteria; Pseudomonadati; Pseudomonadota; Gammaproteobacteria; Oceanospirillales; Halomonadaceae.
CCUACGGGGGGCUGCAGUGGGGAAUAUUGGACAAUGGGGGGAACCCUGAUCCAGCCAUGCCGCGUGUGUGAAGAAGGCCCUCGGGUUGUAAAGCACUUUCAGUGAGGAAGAACGCCUGGUGGUUAAUACCCAUCAGGAAAGACAUCACUCACAGAAGAAGCACCGGCUAACUCCGUGCCAGCAGCCGCGGUAAUACGGAGGGUGCGAGCGUUAAUCGGAAUUACUGGGCGUAAAGCGCGCGUAGGUGGCUUGAUAAGCCGGUUGUGAAAGCCCCGGGCUCAACCUGGGAACGGCAUCCGGAACUGUCAAGCUAGAGUGCAGGAGAGGAAGGUAGAAUUCCCGGUGUAGCGGUGAAAUGCGUAGAGAUCGGGGGGAAUACCAGUGGCGAAGGCGGCCUUCUGGACUGACACUGACACUGAGGUGCGAAAGCGUGGGUAGCAAACAGGAUUAGAUACCCUGGUAGUC